UACGUAGGGUGCGAGCGUUGUCCGGAAUUACUGGGCGUAAAGAGCUCGUAGGUGGUUUGUCGCGUUGUUCGUGAAAACUCACAGCUUAACUGUGGGCGUGCGGGCGAUACGGGCAGACUGGAGUACUGCAGGGGAGACUGGAAUUCCUGGUGUAGCGGUGAAAUGCGCAGAUAUCAGGAGGAACACCGGUGGCGAAGGCGGGUCUCUGGGCCGAUGACUGACGCUGAGGAGCGAAAGCGUGGGGAGCGAACAGG
This 254-nucleotide ribosomal RNA is filed under the name uncultured bacterium. RNAcentral's name for it is "partial 16S ribosomal RNA". It matches the Rfam family "Bacterial small subunit ribosomal RNA", at positions 524 to 776 of the family's 1533-position model. The record is from RNAcentral.